Molecule: small RNA, 408 nt
Filed under: Caenorhabditis elegans
Lineage: Eukaryota; Metazoa; Nematoda; Chromadorea; Rhabditida; Rhabditidae
Description: Unclassified non-coding RNA Y52B11A.22
Source: RNAcentral
GACUCUGUCCUCUACCGCCCGUACACCCCAAUCUCCAAUCCGGACCCCCAAAAAAUUGAUUUUAUGAUAAAAAUCUACUCGAACGGAAUAUGUACUCCAUCACUGGAAAAUCUGAAAAUCGGCGGCGAAUUGGAGAUCAGUGACCCAAUUGGUGAACGAAAUUUCGCUGAAUGGACGGAAAAUGCUCAGGAAUUGAUACUUUUGGCUGCGGGAAGUGGAAUUACACCGAUGAUUGAUAUUAUGGAGAAAAGAAUCCAAAAAACUGAAAAUUCUAAUUCAAAAGUGUACUUUUUGAUGUUUAAUAAGACUGAAAAUGAUCUACAAACUGGAAAACCCGAAGAGAAUCCGAAAUCCACGUGGAAAAUGGCCGAUUUCUAUUCAAAAUACCGCGGAGACGAGCGGAUUGUG